AGCAAUCUGCCUUGGAGUGGGAAUAACGGCCGGAAACAGCCGCUAAUACCGCAUGACGCGUCUGGGAGGCAUCUCUCUGGACGCCAAAGAUUUAUCGCUCUGAGAUGAGCUCGCGUCUGAUUAGCUAGUUGGCGGGGUAACGGCCCACCAAGGCGACGAUCAGUAGCCGGACUGAGAGGUUGGCCGGCCACAUUGGGACUGAGACACGGCCCAGACUCCUACGGAAGGCAGCAG
RNAcentral lists this ribosomal RNA (234 nucleotides) under uncultured bacterium. RNAcentral's name for it is "partial 16S ribosomal RNA". It matches the Rfam family "Bacterial small subunit ribosomal RNA", at positions 120 to 354 of the family's 1533-position model. The record is from RNAcentral.